Molecule: ribosomal RNA, 450 nt
Filed under: uncultured Glomeromycotina
Lineage: Eukaryota; Fungi; Glomeromycota
Description: SSU rRNA
Rfam family: Eukaryotic small subunit ribosomal RNA
Source: RNAcentral
AGCAGCCGCGGUAAUUCCAGCUCCAAUAGCGUAUAUUAAAGUUGUUGCAGUUAAAAAGCUCGUAGUUGAAUUUCGGGGUUAGUAGGUUGGUCAUGCCUCUGGUAUGUACUGGUCUCACUGAUUCCUCCUUCCUGAUGAGCUGUAAUGCCAUUAAUUUGGUGUUGCAGGGAAUCUGGACUGUUACUUUGAAAAAAUUAGAGUGUUUAAAGCAGGCUAACGCUUGAAUACAUUAGCAUGGAAUAAUGAAAUAGGACGUUCGAUCCUAUUUUGUUGGUUUCUAGGAUUGACGUAAUGAUUAAUAGGGAUAGUUGGGGGCAUUAGUAUUCAAUUGUCAGAGGUGAAAUUCUUGGAUUUAUUGAAGACUAACUACUGCGAAAGCAUUUGCCAAGGAUGUUUUCAUUAAUCAAGAACGAAAGUUAGGGGAUCGAAGACGAUCAGAUACCGUCGUAG